UGGACAAAUACAGAGAUAUCGUCAGCUUAGAACAGGACAUUGCAGACCAGGGAAUGGACUGUGGCGAAUACAUAUCUGAAUUCGAUGGCUAUUACUCGAAGAACGAUGCCUACGAGUACGACUACAUGUGGAUGUACGAGGACGGUAUGGAUCCGGGGUCCGGGUCCGGGA
Molecule: long non-coding RNA, 171 nt
Organism: Amphibalanus amphitrite
Lineage: Eukaryota; Metazoa; Arthropoda; Thecostraca; Balanomorpha; Balanidae
Exons: 3
Source: RefSeq, a predicted model, not a curated record